This 1786-nucleotide long non-coding RNA is filed under the name Rattus norvegicus (Norway rat). Its description in RNAcentral is "long non-coding RNA NONRATT000558". The record is from RNAcentral. Lineage: Eukaryota; Metazoa; Chordata; Mammalia; Rodentia; Muridae.
AACCGGGCACGCUACCAAGGCCAAAGCGCAAGUAUAGUGGGGCCACUGGCACACUUCAUACCAGGAGACACGCACAUGGAGCGCUACACAGCCAGAAGCACCGCACUGCAGCACACAAUGUGAGGAGGUGACAACAUGGAGGGACACUACCCACUUCAUACACCUUUAUUUCCACUUUUCUGGUAUCUUCUGAGGACAGAACAUCUGUGAGCCAAUUGUGAUUUAAUCAGAACGUUGACUUUUAAAACGGUUCUUUAAAGAAAAUGUAGCGGAUGUAUGCCGUGACUUGUAUUUAUGACUGUAAAACCAUGUGAUGCAGGGUCGCAGUGUAUGUUUGAUGGGACGCCAUCUUUCAGAACUGUGCUAACUCACUGUUGAAGCGUCCAAUGGUAAGAGAAAAAUACAGACUUGUUUUUUUGUGACAAAUGGACAUUGUACUCUGUACUACUGCUGUAAGUAGCCCUUUUCCAUCUUUGUAAUGACUUGAACGACAAAAGUUCAGGCAGGGUGGCAGGAAAGGGCAGUGGUUCCAAGCUCUGGGUCUCGGUACUACCUAGACCUGGACUGAGGUCGGCUCGGCCACUGAUUUGCAAGUGUCCUAACGCUCAGUGAAGAGUAACUGCUCUAAUUUCUUAUCUGUAAACUGGGGCUAAGAAAUGAGUACCUACCUCAUAGGGUUGUUGUGAGGAACUCAAGCUGUGAUGUCUGUAAAGUGCUUACCAGUGUCUGCCACUUAAGCGCUGAACUAAUGGUUAAUUGAGAACUGCAGCUGGGGUCGGGAGGGGGCUCUGCGUCAUUGUUGGGUCUGAGAUUGUUGAUGCCUUGUAUCUACCUAACUGCUCUUUGAAACUGAUUGUGCUGUUGCCCUGCUUGUCAGCUCCUACAGUCCCUCGCGGUUGGAUGGGAUGUGGAGGGUGGCAGCGCCCAGGGUUGAUAAAGGGGCCUGGAGUGGAGCCUUGAGCUUCCGGAACAUAGAGGCAAUGUGGGCUGUUCACCUCAUUUCUGUCCAUCUUGGAUUGCUUAAUUUGGUUGUUGCCCUUCAUCUUUCUCCCUUCAUUGGGAAUUACUUGUUAAAACUGCUCUUCCUCUCCAUAUGUAAUCCGUCCAUGCCAUAGUUCCCUAGAUGGUCUGGGAGCUGGGUGGGUCCUGCCUGUUCUCUACUAUAUAUAAGCCAUAACGUGGCAGGCAGUGUAAGGAACCCCAUAUCCAUAGCCAAGGAGAGCAGCUGCUCUGUGCGCACAGGGGAGGGAAAGUAGACCCAGCUGUGAGACCUGGGCUUCACGCCCCCUUCCCUGCACCUUAGGAAGGAGGCCCAAGCAGCCCUUAUAAGGAAAGAGUGUAGCCAUGCUCAGAGCUCAGUGGCCUUGAGAUUGGCCUCUGUAGUCAGGAGUCCGGGGAUUCAUUUCUUGAGUUCUAUUCCUAAUUCUGUUUUCAAUCUACAGGUGACCCUGGCAGUAACCCCAACAAACGCCAGCGGCAGCCCCCUCUCCUGGGAGAUCAUCCCGCAGAAUAUGGUGAGGGCAGGGGGUUCCCCUCCGUGGACUCCCGUGGCUCAUGUGCCCCUGCCCGUCGUCCGCCGCGAAAAUUCUCACCCGUCCUCCCUCUCUUUCCUUCCCACCCCCCAGGAGGGCCCCAUGGUGGGUACCACAGCCAUUACCAUGAUGAGGGCUACGGGCCCCCCCCACCUCACUACGAAGGGAGAAGGAUGGGCCCACCUGUGGGGGGUCACCGCCGGGGCCCAAGUCGCUAUGGCCCCCAGUAUGGUCAUCCCCCACCCCCUCCCCCA